UUGAUGAUUUUUUUACUGAAGACCCUAUAACCCAUAAUUUUGUUAAGUUAGAAAGUGACAGCCAACUAUAUAACUUUGUUAAAGAUUUGUGGAGUGGGUCAUCUAUUAAGUUGUUUUUGAAGCAUGUGACUGAUAAAGAAGGAGGGUCCACUACUUUGUGACCAUUUUCUAUUGAAAAAAAUAAUCAAGAUUGGGAAAUUGCUCUAGGGUUUCAAACGGUGUAGGUGAAGUUGAAAAACCAUUAGAAGAAGGAAAUGGUGAUUCUCUUGACUUUGAAAAGGAUGACUUAGAUGAUGUUCCAGAUCAGGAUGAUAGUGAAAUUGAUGAAGAACUGAGAGCUUUUAGAGAAAACUUAGGGAAGACAAAAAGAAUGAAGCUGCAAAGAAAAAAAAGAGAACUAAAAAAACCCUCAAAGGAUCAAGGUGUUGAGCUUGGAGAAGUUGGCAUAGAUAAGGGAUUUGAAAAUAUCUUCAACAAUAAGGCAGCCAAAUAUAAUGGAAAAUUGGGAGGUGAUGAAGUGUUUAUUGAUUCAUCAGAUGAACCAAGUGAAGAUAGUGAUGAGGAGCUAGAUGUUUUAGCACAACCGGGUGUUGAUUUACCUUCAAGAAGAAAAAGCAACAAACUAAGGUAUGAUUCUUCUUCUUCCAUUUCUUUCAUUGAAUUGGGUAUGAUAUUUGAGAGUGCAACUCAAUUUAGAAAGGUUGUUGCUGAUUAUGCUGUUCAACAUAAGGUUCAGUUAAGGCUUAAACCGAAUGAGCCUCAUAAAGUUACGGUAAAAUGUGAAGGGAAAUGUAAAUGCGAAAUCUUUGCAAGUUUGGAUAAAGAUUCUAGAAUUUUUUUAAAAGAAAUACUAUCCUGCUCAUAGAUGUAUUUCAAAGAAUAGGAAAAGGUUGUGCAAAGCCAAAUAUGUGGAAAUGAAGAUGCGGGAUAGAAUAAUAUCUCAGCCUGACAUGAAAGUUCAUAAGCUUCAAGAGACACUAAGAAAAGAAUGUGGAUUAAAAGUCGGAAGAUCAAUAUGUUACAGGGCAAAAAUGAAUGUUAUUGCCAAGUCCUUGGGUGAUUGAAAACUUGAGUUUUCAAGGUUGCUAGACUAUGUUGAUAUGAACAAAUCCUGGGAAUUCUUGUUGGGUUAGAACUGAUAAUGAAACAGUCCCUGGCUUACGUUUGUUUAAAUAUUUUUAUGUCUGUUUUGCUGCAUUGAAAAAUGGAUGGCUAGAAGGUUGUUGGAAAGAUUAUAGGAUUGGAUGGAUGCUUUUUGAAGGGUGCUUGUAGAGGAGAAUUAUUAGUGGCUGUUAGAAAAAAUGGAAACAAUCAAAUAUAUCCAAUAGCUUGGGCAGUGGUUGAUCAAGAAACUAAAAACUAUUGGAGUUGGUUCUUAAGCUAUCUCAUUGAAGACUUGCAACUUGGUGAUGGAAGUGGCAUAGCAAUCAUGUCUGACAUGCAAAAGGGUCUUGAGAUGGCAGUGGAAGUCUUACUUCCUAAUGCUGAAAGAAGAAUGUGUGCAAGACAUAUUUGGACAAACGGGCAAAAAAGAUGGAGAGGUGAGGAAAGGAGAAAAGCAUUUUGGAGGUGCCCCAAAGCUAGUUUUGAGGUUAAAUUAAGAGAUGAAUUUGAAUAUAUGGGGAAAUUUGGUCAUAAAAUAUAUGAGGCAUUGCUUGGAUAUAACAAAGAAUAUUGGUGUAGAGCUUUAUUUAGUGAAAGAUCAAAGUGUGAUGUGGUGAAAAAUAAUAUGUCUGAAACAUUUAACUCAUGGAUUGUUGAUCCUAGACACAAAUCUGUGAUUAGUAUGCUUGAAGAUAUUAGGCAUAAAAUGAUGGAUAGGCAUGGAGAUAUGAUUAAGUUUGCAGAUACUUGGAUCAGUGACAUUUCACCUAUGGCAAGACUGAUUUUAGAAGAAAACAAAGAGAUUGGCACGGCACUAAGGGUGAAUUGGAAUCAUGACAUUGGAUUUGAAAUCCAAGAAGGAGAGUAUAGACACAUAAUUGACAUGACUAGAAAGACAUGUAGCUGUAGGUUGUGGCAGUUGAGGGGCAUACCUUGCCAACAUGCAGUUUGUGCCUUAUAUCAUAUUGGGCAAGAACAAGAAGAUUAUGUGGAACAUUGGUACAAAAAAGAUACAUUGUAAUGUGCCUGACACCAAUAACCCACCUGUUGAGCCUCCUAAAGUGAAGCCAAUGCCUGGAAGACCAGGUAGAUGUAGAAGAAAAGAUAAAGAUGAACCAAGAAAAAAGAAAUGGGGGAAAACAUCAAAGAAUGGAGUGCAGAUGUCAUGUUCCAAAUGCCAUCAAGUUAGGCAUAACAAAAGAACUUGUAAAUCAGUGCCCUCUGAACAACCCACACAAUAGACUGCAAGGCCCUUUCAACAGCCACCAGUGAGGCAGCCUUCACAACCACCAGUGAGGCAACCUUCACGACCACCAGUGAGGCAGCCUAGCAUUGGAAAUGCCUCUUCUUUAUGUGUAGAUACUUCAAAGGUUAAAGGAAGGAAAAAGAAGCAGUCAACUGCAAGGGCAACUUCUUCUUCAACUGCAUGGACAUCAUCUUCUUCAGUUGGAAUGCCACCACCUUCUUCAGUUGGAAGGCCACCAACUUCUUUAGUUGGAAUGCAACCAGCUGCUUCAAUUGGAAGAAAAAGAAAAAGAGAUGUGGAAUUUGGUGUUUACACAGACAUACAAUCUGAAAGACAAGUGAUUAACGAAGAUCAAGUGAAAGAGUUAUCUCAAGUGGAACAGGGGUAGCAUUUAAAGAUGCAUCACAAACAAAUGUUGAUCUUGGAUUCAAGCCACCUAGUUUAAAAUGGAAAGGAAAAGAUGCAAUGACUGGAAAUCAACUUCAACAAUUGUCAAAGAAAAAGGUGCAAAGCAAAUCCAAGGGGAAGUGGGUUCCAUAAGAGCUCAAAGUCUUACUGAUGUGUAUAAAUGUUGAUCUAGGAGGUCUUUGUUUUUGUUUAUUUUGAUAACUGUUUGUAAAGGCAUACUCCAAUUACUGAUCAUUUUGAUGUAUUUUGGGUUA
Molecule: RNA transcript, 3012 nt
Organism: Solanum pennellii
Lineage: Eukaryota; Viridiplantae; Streptophyta; Magnoliopsida; Solanales; Solanaceae
Exons: 4
Source: RefSeq, a predicted model, not a curated record